GACGAACGCUGGCGGCGUGCUUAACACAUGCAAGUCGAACGGAAAGGCCUCUUUCGGGGGGUACUCGAGUGGCGAACGGGUGAGUAACACGUGAGUAACCUGCCCUUGACUUUGGGAUAACUUCAGGAAACUGGGGCUAAUACCGGAUAGGAGCUCCUGCUGCAUGGUGGGGGUUGGAAAGUUUCGGCGGUUGGGGAUGGACUCGCGGCUUAUCAGCUUGUUGGUGGGGUAGUGGCUUACCGAGGCUUUGACGGGUAGCCGGCCUGUGAGGGUGACCGGCGACAUUGAGACUGAGAUACGGCCCAGACUCCUACGGGAGGCAGCAGUGGGGAAUAUUGCUCAAGGGGUGGAAGCCUGAUGCAGCAACGCCGUGUGCGGGAUGACGGCCUUCGGGUUGUAAACCGCUUUCGCUCAUGACGAAGCUUUGUGUGACGGUAGUGGGUAAAGAAGCACCGGCUAACUACGUG
This 467-nucleotide ribosomal RNA is filed under the name uncultured bacterium. RNAcentral describes it as "partial 16S ribosomal RNA". It matches the Rfam family "Bacterial small subunit ribosomal RNA", at positions 28 to 507 of the family's 1533-position model. The record is from RNAcentral.